This 692-nucleotide ribosomal RNA is filed under the name uncultured eukaryote. RNAcentral describes it as "SSU rRNA". It matches the Rfam family "Eukaryotic small subunit ribosomal RNA", at positions 591 to 1291 of the family's 1831-position model. The record is from RNAcentral.
CUCAUAGCGUAUAUUUAAGUUGUUGCAGUUAAAAAGCUCGUAGUUGGAUUUCGGGCCCAGGCGGCCGGUCCGCCGUUUCGGUGUGCACUGGUCGGCUCGGUCUUUCUGCCGGGGACGCGCUCCGUCUUGACUGCCGGACGCGGAGUCGGCGACGUUACUUUGAAAAAAUUAGAGUGUUCAAAGCAGGCUUACGCUCUGAAUACUAUAGCAUGGAAUAACACGAUAGGACUCCGAGCCUAUUUUGUUGGUCUUCGGGACCGGAGUAGUGAUUAAGAGGGACAGUUGGGGGCAUUCGUAUUACGGUGUCAGAGGUGAAAUUCUUGGAUUUCCGUAAGACGAACUUCUGCGAAAGCAUUUGCCAAGGAUGUUUUCAUUAAUCAAGAGCGAAAGUUGGGGGCUCGAAGAUGAUCAGAUACCGUCGUAGUCUCAACCAUAAACGAUGCCGACUAGGGAUUGGAGGAUGUUAAUUCGAUGACUUCUCCAGCACCUUAAGAGAAAUCAAAGUUUUUGGGUUCCGGGGGGAGUAUGGUCGCAAGGCUGAAACUUAAAGGAAUUGACGGAAGGGCACCACCAGGCGUGGAGCCUGCGGCUUAAUUUGACUCAACACGGGGAAACUUACCAGGUCCAGACAUAGUAAGGAUUGACAGAUUGAGAGCUCUUUCUUGAUUCUAUGGGUGGUGGUGCAUGGCCGU